Molecule: ribosomal RNA, 933 nt
Filed under: Bacillus subtilis
Lineage: Bacteria; Bacillati; Bacillota; Bacilli; Caryophanales; Bacillaceae
Description: bacterial SSU rRNA
Rfam family: Bacterial small subunit ribosomal RNA
Source: RNAcentral
GUCGAGCGGACAGAUGGGAGCUUGCUCCCUGAUGUUAGCGGCGGACGGGUGAGUAACACGUGGGUAACCUGCCUGUAAGACUGGGAUAACUCCGGGAAACCGGGGCUAAUACCGGAUGGUUGUUUGAACCGCAUGGUUCAAACAUAAAAGGUGGCUUCGGCUACCACUUACAGAUGGACCCGCGGCGCAUUAGCUAGUUGGUGAGGUAAUGGCUCACCAAGGCAACGAUGCGUAGCCGACCUGAGAGGGUGAUCGGCCACACUGGGACUGAGACACGGCCCAGACUCCUACGGGAGGCAGCAGUAGGGAAUCUUCCGCAAUGGACGAAAGUCUGACGGAGCAACGCCGCGUGAGUGAUGAAGGUUUUCGGAUCGUAAAGCUCUGUUGUUAGGGAAGAACAAGUACCGUUCGAAUAGGGCGGUACCUUGACGGUACCUAACCAGAAAGCCACGGCUAACUACGUGCCAGCAGCCGCGGUAAUACGUAGGUGGCAAGCGUUGUCCGGAAUUAUUGGGCGUAAAGGGCUCGCAGGCGGUUUCUUAAGUCUGAUGUGAAAGCCCCCGGCUCAACCGGGGAGGGUCAUUGGAAACUGGGGAACUUGAGUGCAGAAGAGGAGAGUGGAAUUCCACGUGUAGCGGUGAAAUGCGUAGAGAUGUGGAGGAACACCAGUGGCGAAGGCGACUCUCUGGUCUGUAACUGACGCUGAGGAGCGAAAGCGUGGGGAGCGAACAGGAUUAGAUACCCUGGUAGUCCACGCCGUAAACGAUGAGUGCUAAGUGUUAGGGGGUUUCCGCCCCUUAGUGCUGCAGCUAACGCAUUAAGCACUCCGCCUGGGGAGUACGGUCGCGAGACUGAAACUCAAAGGAAUUGACGGGGCCCGCACAACCGUGGAGCAUGUGGUUUAAUUCAAAGCACGCGGAAAGAACUUUACCA